AGCGAACGCUGGCGGCAGGCCUAACACAUGCAAGUCGAACGAACCUUUCGGGGUUAGUGGCGGACGGGUGAGUAACACGUGGGAACGUGCCUUUAGGUUCGGAAUAACUCAGGGAAACUUGUGCUAAUACCGAAUGUGCCCUUCGGGGGAAAGAUUUAUCGCCUUUAGAGCGGCCCGCGUCUGAUUAGCUAGUUGGUUGAGGUAAUGGCUCACCAAGGCGACGAUCAGUAGCUGGUCUGAGAGGAUGAUCAGCCACAUUGGGACUGAGACACGGCCCAAACUCGUACGGGAGGCAGCAGUGGGGAAUCUUGCGCAAUGAGCGAAAGCCUGACGCAGCCAUGCCGCGUGAAUGAUGAAGGUCUUAGGAUUGUAAAAUUCUUUCACCGGGGACGAUAAUGACGGUACCCGGAGAAGAAGCCCCGGCUAACUUCGUG
RNAcentral lists this ribosomal RNA (434 nucleotides) under uncultured bacterium. Its description in RNAcentral is "partial 16S ribosomal RNA". It matches the Rfam family "Bacterial small subunit ribosomal RNA", at positions 29 to 507 of the family's 1533-position model. The record is from RNAcentral.